This is a long non-coding RNA of Herpailurus yagouaroundi (jaguarundi), 135 nucleotides long. RefSeq lists it as uncharacterized. The record is from RefSeq and is a predicted model, not a curated record. Lineage: Eukaryota; Metazoa; Chordata; Mammalia; Carnivora; Felidae. The transcript is spliced from 3 exons.
CAGAGAAGGCGGCGUGCCUGUCAGGGCCCCUGGGUGGUACAGAUUCUGCUGUGGCUGUCCACUGCCCAGGUGUGGGGCCUGCCCCGCCUGGUGCUGUUAGGGGGAGGGGAAGGCACAGAUAGGAAGAGCCCACGU